This 491-nucleotide ribosomal RNA is filed under the name uncultured bacterium. Its description in RNAcentral is "partial 16S ribosomal RNA". It matches the Rfam family "Bacterial small subunit ribosomal RNA", at positions 29 to 507 of the family's 1533-position model. The record is from RNAcentral.
AUGAACGCUAGCUACAGGCUUAACACAUGCAAGUCGAGGGGAAACGACAUCGACAGCUUGCUUUUGAUGGGCGUCGACCGGCGCACGGGUGAGUAACGCGUAUCCAACCUGCCCACCACUUGGGGAUAACCUUGCGAAAGUAAGACUAAUACCCAAUGACGUCUCUAGAAGACAUCUGAAAGAGAUUAAAGAUUUAUCGGUGAUGGAUGGGGAUGCGUCUGAUUAGCUUGUUGGCGGGGUAACGGCCCACCAAGGCGACGAUCAGUAGGGGUUCUGAGAGGAAGGUCCCCCACAUUGGAACUGAGACACGGUCCAAACUCCUACGGGAGGCAGCAGUGAGGAAUAUUGGUCAAGGGACGAGAGUCUGAACCAGCCAAGUAGCGUGCAGGAUGACGGCCCUAUGGGUUGUAAACUGCUUUUAUAAGGGAAUAAAGUGAGUCUCGUGAGACUUUUUGCAUGUACCUUAUGAAUAAGGACCGGCUAAUUCCGUG